This is a non-coding RNA of Mesocricetus auratus (golden hamster), 77 nucleotides long. Lineage: Eukaryota; Metazoa; Chordata; Mammalia; Rodentia; Cricetidae. The record is from Rfam.
AAAGGACUUACAUAAACACAAGUUGGAGACAAAUAGAAGAAAAAUUAGAUAAAUACCAGCAGUUCAGCUUGGCUCGU